AAUAUUUUAAAAUGAUUAAAAUAAAAAUGUUAAAUGAAAAUUAAAUGGAAAAUAAAAUAAAAUAUGAAUUAAAUGCUAAAAAUGAUUUGAAAAAUGGUUAGAAAAUAAAAUCAAAUAGAAAAUAUUUUUAGAGUUUUUCUAUAAAAAUUGAGAAUUAAAAACAAUUAAGGAACUAUUUUUAAUAAUUUUUGAAAGAAAAAUGAAUUAAAAAAAAAUAAAAUCAAAAUUAAAACAAGCAAAAAAAAUUGAGCCAUUAGAUAUGAUUAUUAAAUU
This 273-nucleotide long non-coding RNA is filed under the name Lathyrus oleraceus (garden pea). Its description in RNAcentral is "Pisum sativum (pea) long non-coding RNA (PSAT_LNC000897)". Lineage: Eukaryota; Viridiplantae; Streptophyta; Magnoliopsida; Fabales; Fabaceae. The record is from RNAcentral.